RNAcentral lists this ribosomal RNA (253 nucleotides) under uncultured bacterium. RNAcentral's name for it is "partial 16S ribosomal RNA". It matches the Rfam family "Bacterial small subunit ribosomal RNA", at positions 524 to 776 of the family's 1533-position model. The record is from RNAcentral.
UACGAAGGGGGCUAGCGUUGCUCGGAAUUACUGGGCGUAAAGCGCACGUAGGCGGUUUGUUAAGUCGGGGGUGAAAUCCUGGAGCUCAACUCCAGAACUGCCUUCGAAACUGGCGAUCUUGAGUUCGGGAGAGGUGAGUGGAACUGCGAGUGUAGAGGUGAAAUUCGUAGAUAUUCGCAAGAACACCAGUGGCGAAGGCGGCUCACUGGCCCGAUACUGACGCUGAGGUGCGAAAGCGUGGGGAGCAAACAGG